AAGGCCAUCAAAUUUUCAGUCCACCGAGACCACCUCACUGUACGGACACGUCCAAAAUACUUUAAAAUCACAAAAAACCAAAAUCUAGUACACAACAACAUAUCAUCAUUACAAAAAACCUAACUGUACUUUCGGCUUAUUGACCGGCCCUAAAUAACCAGCUUAACCGGCCGGAAACCCGCCGGCCGGCGGUUUCUUUAUUUGCUGAUGUCAACAUCAGUGGGAUUAUUCUUUUUGGGCCUUGGUCUUGUCACUGUCAGGUCCAUUAGAGCAGCCCAUUUGGCCUUCUAUAAACCUCCUUCCAUUUUUACUUUCUUCAUCUCAUUUAAGUUACAACUAUUUUUUUCUUAUUUCUGCUCAAAAAUCUCUGUUUCAGUAUGCUGGGAAGUGAAAUACUUUUCAUGGUGAAAGUAAAACAUAAGAUUCUUCAAGAAAAUCUUGAAGUUAGGGUUAUACAAUCGUCCGCCGGCAUCGAGUUUGGAGCCGACAGUCACUUGAGAACGGCAGUGGUUUGUUCAUGUUAAUCGGGCGCUAUCCUAUCUGAGCUUUUUUCGACUUCUAUUUUUUUUUUUUUUGAUUUUUAAUCUUCUUGACCUUGUAAGACCUUUUCUUGACCUUGUAAGACCCCAUUCUCCUUAGAUUUUAAACUCUGUAUUAAUGCUUACGGAUACAGAGUUUAAAGUCGAAUUUUUCCUGUUUCCGCCCAACUCAUCUUCUCCUUCCUUGUCUAUCCCUCCUGAGCUAUUCGAUACUUAUCUCUCUCGUCCUUUAAAACCGUCCCAAUUAAACCUAAUACAGUUUUUGCUGCUGUGUAUAUGGUUUUUUUUUUCACUGUUUUUUUUUUCCAUGUAAGAUUAAGCAUGAGAAAUUGGAAGGUAUAAGUGAGAGAGAGUGGUUUGUUUUUUAUUUUUAGAGUAAGAAAAAAGAAGAAUUAGUGUUAUAUAAAUGUGCAGAAAUAUGGAGUUGCAGUGUUGUUGUAAUGGUGGGAAGUGAAUAAAAAGAAUAAAUAUUCUCUCA
Mercurialis annua (annual mercury) is the source of this 1017-nucleotide long non-coding RNA. RefSeq lists it as uncharacterized. NCBI's taxonomy places the organism in Eukaryota, Viridiplantae, Streptophyta, Magnoliopsida, Malpighiales, Euphorbiaceae. The record is from RefSeq and is a predicted model, not a curated record. The transcript is spliced from 2 exons.